GUGCAAGCAUAUUGCAGAGAUGUCAGCAGAGCUUUCACUGAAAUCAAAUAUCUUUUAGAAAACGCAUGGAAUGGAAACCAGUGUGGAGGGGGAGGGAACCAGGUUGUAAGGAGAGUGGCAUUUGAGAUGCAGGAGGACGUCUAGGAUGGCUGCAUUCGACUGAAAGAGAGUUCAUGGGAGAAUAAAGAGGCAACUGCAUGACUAUCAGAGAAGCAGCCAUUGAAACUGUUCCUGGCAUGAAGAUGAAGUUAAUGCUAAAGUACUGCCAAGUAAAAGUCUGUCUAGUGUGCAAGUGUUGAAUUCAGAACAGCCCAAAAAGGACGAAAAUGAUCAUAACAUAAUACUAUUAAAGAUCUGGAGGAGGACAGAAUGACUAUCAGGCAUUGAACUACAACUCCUCUCCUGUUCAAGCCAAUGUACAGUUCAGUCAUGGAAUUCUGCACAUGGAAGAUCCCAGAUUCAAUUGCCGGAUUUGGUUCAGAAACACCUUGGAAGUGCUAAAUGGAUCACUCGUCUGGCUCAGUAAUUUGCGGGCUUGGCAGCUAUAUCUCUGCUCAUCAUGCCAUUCAAAUGCAAACUUCAUUCCUUGUGAUUCAUACAUGAUUUUCUAUCCUAGACGUCCUAUUUUUAUAGUAUUUAUUUAUUUACUUAUUUUAUUUCUACCCCACUCUUCACACUCCACAGGGAACUCAGAGCAACUUAUAAGUUUUGGCAAAAAUCCAGUGCCAGUCUUAUACAAUAAACAUAAAACUCAGUAACAUGUAAAUCACAAUUAAAACCAAUUAAAAUGUGUAACCAAAUCUCAGCUAUCAUGAGGAUUUUGCUAAAAGAGGGAAGGAUUUGUCCUGAAUGACAGCACAAGUGAACCAGCAUCAGCAGCAGGAAUGGUGAUGUAGCUGAGCAGCAAGAUGGCGGAGACCUCUAUGGCUGAAGCCCCCACAGGCAUGAUCCUUUUAUGCCCUGGCCUUUGGAGGCAAGCAGGUGUUCUUGCUAGGCCUUGCUUUGCAGAGUCACAGGGUCAGGGCCUCAGUUCUGCAAGGAGUGAUUUCCAGGAGUUGAGCCAGAGGCAGCAAAGAAAACAAAGGCUGCCUUUUUCCUCAAAGCCCCUGGUGAUGGUACCUUCACUCCCUUGAUGGUCCUCUAGUAACCUCUCAUGGAAAGAUACCAAACCUGAACUACUCAGUGACAUGCUGGGAGGUAAGAUUACUAUUUCUAGGCUUGGGAACUCUCUCACACAGGAUAUUAGCCUGACAUCCCCUUGGUUCUUUUGUCUGAGAGGCAAAAACUUCCCACUAGGUAUGAGAAGACCAUGCUAGGAAGAUGAACAAGAAUCUAAGGAAAGCUUUAAAAAAAGUUGGAAAGAAACUAAGGGAGCACAGUCACAACCAGCAGCUCACUAUCCAUAUUCUGGAACAACAACAGCAGCAAAAAUCAUUAUGGCAGGAAAGAGGAGUAAAAGAAACAUGCACCUGCAGUCUAUAUCUACUUUCCCCCAAUCUGCUACCCUCCAGAUGCUCUAGACUAGAACUCCCAUGGGAAUUUUAAUCUGAAAGACACCAGGAUAGGGAAGACUGGUCUUUGGCAGAAGUCUUUGUUUUUGGUACUCCAGAAGUUUUGGGCUUUGAUCCCCUGCAUCCUUGGUCAAUGGUCUUAGUGGCUGGGAUGCCUUCACCUGGAAGUCCAGGAUAUCUGGAGGCUCAAAGGAAGAGACUGAAUUGUGUAUGAUAUAUAAAAGCGUUUGGAUCCCUUUUGUUUACAAAGUUGUCAACAAGCUCAUUCAAAAUAGUGAGGAAAACUGCCCAGGGAUUUUUCUUGCCACAGGUCUGGCAUUUCUGGCAUUCUAUUUCUGUUUUUCCUGCUUCUUUUUCAGUAGCUUUCCAUCAGAAAACUUGCAAACAGUCUCCCUUCCCCAAAGGGAAGGUCAGAGGAAUGCUGUGAUUCCAUUGCAUAUGUUAAACAUGCACAACUUGUGUUAAGCAUGAUAUGACCUCACUCCACUCAGUACUGCUAACUGUUCCGAGUACUUGAGCUACUGAAAAAAAGCUUUGCAGAAACUUUCAUUCUCACUGCUAAAUACAGAGAAAAUGGACUAAACAGCAUUUUUCUGUACCACAGUUCCGUAAGGUCACAAGAGAAUACCUUCAGCAUUCGAUCAAAAAUGCAUAAACUGGACUGAAUCAGCUUUAUCCAAAGAUUUUCUAUCUGGAACGUGAUCUCUUAUUGUAGUUAGCCUAUCUUCUACCAUUUUUUCUGAACAGAUAAAAUACUGGUGGUAUUAGAGAAGAAGACCUUUAUGUCUUCUGACAUGCCCAAAUUCCUACGUUUGCACACUUGAAGCUCAAGUUGCCUUCAACAAAUAUAAUUAAGCAACAUUUUUCUCCUGGUUAAAUUAAGUAUUUUAGAAUUCUGAUAAAAUAAUUAUACAU
Anolis carolinensis (green anole) is the source of this 2426-nucleotide long non-coding RNA. RefSeq lists it as uncharacterized. The record is from RefSeq and is a predicted model, not a curated record. The transcript is spliced from 3 exons. Lineage: Eukaryota; Metazoa; Chordata; Lepidosauria; Squamata; Anolidae.